Molecule: ribosomal RNA, 460 nt
Filed under: uncultured bacterium
Lineage: Bacteria
Description: partial 16S ribosomal RNA
Rfam family: Bacterial small subunit ribosomal RNA
Source: RNAcentral
CCUACGGGUGGCAGCAGUGAGGAAUAUUGGUCAAUGGGCGCGAGCCUGAACCAGCCAAGUCGCGUGAGGGAUGACGGCCCUACGGGUUGUAAACCUCUUUUGCCGGGGGGCAACGGGCGCCACGUGUGGCGCCACUGAGAGUCCCCGGAGAAAAAGCAUCGGCUAACUCCGUGCCAGCAGCCGCGGUAAUACGGGGGAUGCGAGCGUUACCCGUAUGUAUUGGGUUUAGGGGGUGCGUAGGCGGAGCGUUAAGUCAGUGGUAAAAUUGAGGGGCUCAACCCCUUCCCGCCAUUGAAACUGGCGUUCUUGAGUGGAAGAGAAGUAUGCGGAAUGCGUGGUGUAGCGGUGAAAUGCAUAGAUAUCACGCAGAACCCCGAUUGCGAAGGCAGCAUGCCGGCUUCCGACUGACGCUGAUGCACGAAAGCGUGGGGAUCGAACAGGAUUAGAUACCCUGGUAGUC